UGCGUCUCUAUCCUAUGAAGACAACUCUAUGAGAACAACACUUAUGGCGGAGAAAUCGAAAAGUAAACGUGAGAUGUCUGUCAGCGCCUCAAUAAUGCCGUGACUGACAUUUUCAUCUGAAACGGGAGGUCAAACGGUUUCCUAAACUUCUCCCAUACAACGGGCCUGACGAGCGUGACAAACUGAGUGAGGAGUUUCUGGACUACCAGUCCAUGGAUAUUGCCAUGCCCGAAGACCCAGCCACGUUCGACAUUGAGAGCUUUUGGGGGAACAUGACAUGAAUGAAGAAUAAGGUGACCAGUAUGAGCAGAUUUGGGAGGCUCUCCCGUAUUGCCAAGUUGGUGUUGGUACUUCCACAUUCAAAUGCUGAUGCUGAACGAGUGUUCUCUGUGGUGGGACUGAACAAAACCAAAACCCGAAACAGUUUGGCUCUUGAUGGAACUCUAUCAUCCAUCAUGACUGUGAAGAUGGCAAACCUUGAGCCACAGUGUUUCAAAUGGGAGCCCCCUCCCUCUGUCAUCAAGGCAUCAAAAUCUGCCACAAACACCUACAACAUGAGACAUGUCAUGUAAACCAAAAAUUACAAACAAAGACAUGCACUUUUUUUUAUAAUAUAUAGUAUAUAUAUAUUAUUCUGGUUCUAAUUGUGUUACAAAAAAAAUGCACUAAAGGAAAAGGCUGCUAUUGUUUCUUAAAAGGCUGCUAUGUUUUCUUUAUAUUGACAUUUUAUAAAUAAAUGUAUUUUAUUUGUCAAACUU
This is a long non-coding RNA of Gymnodraco acuticeps, 758 nucleotides long. RefSeq lists it as uncharacterized. Lineage: Eukaryota; Metazoa; Chordata; Actinopteri; Perciformes; Bathydraconidae. The record is from RefSeq and is a predicted model, not a curated record. The transcript has 3 exons.